This 490-nucleotide unclassified non-coding RNA is filed under the name uncultured fungus. RNAcentral's name for it is "partial contains small subunit ribosomal RNA, internal transcribed spacer 1, and 5.8S ribosomal RNA". The stretch from base 1 to 73 matches the Rfam family "Eukaryotic small subunit ribosomal RNA", at positions 1759 to 1831 of the family's 1831-position model. The record is from RNAcentral. Lineage: Eukaryota; Fungi.
GCAAACUUGGUCAUUUAGAGGAAGUAAAAGUCGUAACAAGGUUUCCGUAGGUGAACCUGCGGAAGGAUCAUUAAAGUGAAUUUAGGUCAAUGUAGACCUUAAAUCUGAACUUGUGGUAAGAAAUGUUGGGUUGUUUGGGUUUAAAAAUGGCAUGAUUUUGAAUGAAGCUCUAUAGGUGGUGGUUGGAAUGGAAGGUUGUAUAAGGAAAGUAUUUGCAUGAUAUGCUUCAGUGGCAUAGUUUUGUGAUAUUUUGCUUGUACAAUUAGUACGGACUAACUGUUCACAGAUUGGAUUUACAGUAUAGUAGGUCUAGUUUGUGGUCUUCUUUUAGAGAUAGUUCUUAGUUUGUGACGACCUGACGCAUGAACUCUUUUAUUAAUUUGACUGAAAUAUAAAAUUAAAUUUAAUCCAAUUUAUGGGGUUAAAAGAAAAAGUUUAAAUAACUUUCAACAACGGAUCUCUUGGUUCUCGCAUCGAUGAAGAACGCAGC